GGGUGAGGUGUGACUUCCCAGAGCAGCGAGCUUCAGUGUCUGACUACAUGGGGCAAGGAAAGACACCAGUGGACAAAAGGUGCUGUGCUGGAGAGAGCAUGUGGAGAGACACCACAGAGAGUGAUGUCCAAGGAUCCUCUGCUGUUCUAGCCUCCAGAUGUUUGGUACCAAAUGGAGAGUGAGUGAGGCUUCCAACCCCACCUUUGAGCCACCCCAGCUGAUCCCAGUAGAGCAGAGAUGAGCUGUCCCCACCAAGUCUUGCCCAGAUUGCA
This 272-nucleotide long non-coding RNA is filed under the name Homo sapiens (human). RNAcentral's name for it is "HSALNT0330529". Lineage: Eukaryota; Metazoa; Chordata; Mammalia; Primates; Hominidae. The record is from RNAcentral.